Molecule: unclassified non-coding RNA, 376 nt
Filed under: Hevea brasiliensis (rubber tree)
Lineage: Eukaryota; Viridiplantae; Streptophyta; Magnoliopsida; Malpighiales; Euphorbiaceae
Source: RNAcentral
UCCAAACAAAUUCUGCAUGUACCAUCCUAGCUCCUCUUAACUUCAGUCCUUUUGUACAAUAUGCUAACAACUCAUUGGAUUCUAAUUGGGCCUUAAUCCAAGUGCUAGGUGGAUGCAAAUAACUAUCACAUUCAGGGCAAUGUCUAAUGAUUACAUGCUUCUGCAAACCUUCAGUGAUAUCCACUUCUGAGCGCAAACACUUAACACACAUGUUGGCAGCAUUUGGUUGCAUGGGAAUGCCACAUUUACAACAUAAAACACUUCCAAUGGUUUGACGAAUCACAAACAUGCCUGCUGCUUCAGCCAUGGCCGAUUGAUUUGAAGACCCAAACGGCAGGCGAAAUUUGGGAAGGAGAAAGUGAGGGACAAUUAGAAA